ACAAUAAAGUAUUAACCUCACAUUAUACUAUUAUAUCCACCUAUUUGUGAGGCUAACAAAUAUGAAAAGCAAACUUGAUAUCUGUGCAUGUUACACGUAUAAAGUUAGGCUUCGUCCACUAGUACAGGAAGGGCUUUAGCCCCGGGCCGUAAGUGCCUUUAGUCCCGGCUACGGAACCGGGACUAAGGUUUCGGAACUAAAUGUCCCACCUUUAGUCCCGGUUGGUAACAGCAACCGGGACUAAAAGGUGCGCCAGGGUGUGCCACCUGGCCUCCACUUUUAGUCCCUGUUGUUGCUACCAACCGGGACUAAAGACUUUUUCUUUUUUAUUUUUCUUUUCAUUUGGUUUUCCAGUUAGGGUUUACAAUUAUGUUAUUGUUAUUUUCGAAUGCGUAUUGUUUGUUUUGCUGGUAGUUUAUGGAACGCGCACCUAUAAUUUAUAUAAUUUAAAGGAUUACAUAUAAAUAUACUAUAAAACACUAUAUAUAUAUAUAAAUAAUAUGUAUCUAUAGGUCCAUAAUAUAAUAUUUACACAUAUGCUUCACGGACAAAAUAUUUACAACACAAUUUAUCUCCGCCACUCAAGCAUCGUACAAAUGAUCAUCGUUAUUUGGUUUCAUCUGCUCUUGAGGGUUGAAGUAGCACUCGCCGCCGGGAUCCAGGACUUGGUCGUUAAGAAAUCCUGCGAUUGUCUCCUGAAUUCCUUUUAGGCGCACCGCAUCCAACACCUGCUCCUUCAGCCACAUCUCCUUUAAUAGACAUUAAAGAAAAAAGUUAGAGGUAUGAAUAGUAUUUAUUAAAUAGCAACAAAUAAAUGAAAUAAACUUAUUAUAUAUACAUGUUACAUACUUUUAGGUGCUCAAGAUUAGUUCUUUUGGCAUACACCGUCAUAAACUCGCACACAUAGUAGCCACACAAAUUGUUGUCCGGUGUCUGCCGUAGAACCCACUGAAGUAAGAUGGGCUUUGAAAGUGCUACAUUCAACUCUGGACGGUGUUUCUGCACGAACCCAGCCCAAACCCUAGCAAUAAAACGAUCAUUAUUAAUUAUCCAUUACCAAGUUAAAAGAGCAGAAUUUAAUAUAUAGAGAUCGGAGUUACCCUUGGAUAAUAUCUAUCAUUUCUUGGUAAUCGUCCUUUGGUUUUCUCAAUGAGUCAUAGAUUACCAAUUGAUAUUGCCAGAGAUCAAUGACAAUUAGUAUCCAAUGAAAGCUGCAUUUGUGUGCAUAUGUAGGCAAAAUUAGUAUAUAUCUUCAUAUUGAUCUGAUUAAUUAGUUAAAUAGAAUGUACACACGAUAACGACACUUACUUAAAGUUGUAGGGAAAGAGUAUAUAUCUUUUAUCUUUUUGGUUGAUCAAGAACCUCCGUAGAUUUCUCUUCGUUUGAGUUCUCUAUAAAACAUACGGGGUCUUGUGGUCUUUGAAUACAACAUUUGGAUCCACAAAUCCAAUCUCCUUGUCAUUUCUAACUCUGAGGUCCCUCAUCAUGUUUCUGCAUAUGUAUAGCGGGUUUCUGUAAUUAGUUAUAUAUAUACAUGAUAAGUUACAGAGACAUUAUUGAAAGGAAGAAUCAGUUACAGACAGAAGCAACUCUUUAGAGAUUUGUCAAGAGCCCUAGGUGGCGUUGGAGCCCUAGGUGGCGGUGUUGGAGCCUGAGGUGGC
This 1661-nucleotide long non-coding RNA is filed under the name Sorghum bicolor (sorghum). RNAcentral's name for it is "long non-coding RNA (SBIC_LNC014675)". Lineage: Eukaryota; Viridiplantae; Streptophyta; Magnoliopsida; Poales; Poaceae. The record is from RNAcentral.